RNAcentral lists this ribosomal RNA (253 nucleotides) under uncultured bacterium. Its description in RNAcentral is "partial 16S ribosomal RNA". It matches the Rfam family "Bacterial small subunit ribosomal RNA", at positions 524 to 776 of the family's 1533-position model. The record is from RNAcentral.
GACGUAGGGCGCAAGCGUUGUCCGGAUUUAUUGGGCGUAAAGAGCUCGUAGGCGGCCUGUCGCGUCGACCGUGAAAACCCGCAGCUCAACUGCGGGCUUGCGGUCGAUACGGGCAGGCUGGAGUUCGGUAGGGGAGACUGGAAUUCCUGGUGUAGCGGUGAGAUGCGCAGAUAUCAGGAGGAACACCGGUGGCGAAGGCGGGUCUCUGGGCCGAUACUGACGCUGAGGAGCGAAAGCGUGGGGAGCGAACAGG